UCCGGAGUUGCUCAAAUUUGCUGGUUUUGGCUUGUGAUCAUGAGAGAUGUAAAGGAAAAGGAAGAAAAAGAUGAUGGCAAGAUGCUGAAGCUACCACCUGGAUUUCGGUUCUCGCCGACAGACGAAGAACUUGUCCUUCACUUUCUGCAUCCCAAGAAGCAGCAGGCCUCUCUGUCUCCUCUCUAUGCUCACCUGGUUCCUGAUCUCAAGUCUCACCACCAUGAUCCUUGGGACCUCCAUGGUAAGCGAGAGAGAGCAACUUUUGCUUUAUUAUCGUACAUAUAGUUGCUUAGUAGGAUGCAGUGCCCUAGCUAGAAGAAAUUCUGGAUAAAGAGGUAUAGAAAAAUUAGCUCUGAUUGCCCUAAUACAUCUUCUGAUGAGCUUGUCAAGAUCUUGAAGACGAGACUUGUGAGAGUAAAUGGUUUUUCCUGAAGUCACAUGAUUAUCAAAAGUAACUUAGCAAAGAUUUGCCGUGUUAAUAUCGUAACAGGGAUAUCAUCAUAUAUGAUUUGCUGUGACAGAAAGUCUUUUAUCAGUUCCACUUCGACAACUGAAAUUAGAUUUUGAAUGCACAGGAAAGGCGCUGUCGAAUGGAUCCCACUACUUCUAUUUCAGCAGAAUGAUGAACAAUCGAAUUACGGAAAAUGGGUACUGGAAAGAUUUAGACAUGGAAGAGCCAGUGUUUGGUGAAGCUGGAGAAAUUAUAGGAAUGAAGAAAUCUCUGACUUUCCACAUUGGAGAGGCUCCAACAGGUCAAGAGACAAACUGGGUGAUGCAGGAGUAUCAUCUCGUGUCCUUCCAUGAAUUGGCUAAUUCAACACAAGUGAGUGCAAAUAUUCCUCAGAAAUGUUGAAAGUUAGAUUGUCAGUUAAUCUAUCUUUGAAAAGCUUCACGAGACUUUGUCCAUCGUACACCAUGUGUAAAAGAGUUUCGCUUGCAACACAUUUUUCACUCACGUUGUCUGAUUUUGAUUUCGAUAUUUGCUGUGGUAAGCUGUCGGAUUUUCUUUUUGCAACCAAGGCAAUUUGACUGUAAACUCGGACUUAUUUCUCAAGCAAAGUGCUAAUAUGGAGGCAACAGAGCAUAUGGUCCAAGUAGAGACCACCCCAGCCCGAGAUAUAAGAAAAUUUUUAAAGGUGGCAUCCACUCGGACUGUACAUGUCAGCUCUACAUGGGUCGCCAUGUCGACAAUUUGCUAGAAAUUUCGUUUUUUUUUUUUUUUUUUUGGUCGGAGCUAGAAAUUUCGUUGGAUUCCAGUCGAAAUGCAACAAAUAUAAAAAGAAACGAAAAUUUAACGCAUGUCCUGCAACCGAAUCAAAGUCCAGUGACCUGUUUGCAGAUGCCCCCAAUUGCAGUCAUCGCCAGUUAAAUAUUUCUGGUUUAUGGGCAUGUUGACAGAGCGUAGUAUCAGAGCUCAAAUAUGAUUCAACAUUGAUUAAAUUCUUGAGUGCUUGCUUGGAAAUUUUAGAAUGAGUUGUCAAAUUUUGUUGUACACAGGAACCCGGUUCGCUGGUUCUGUCUCGAGUUCAUGAAAGCAAGACAAGUCAUGGACAAAGCUUAUGCUCGGGAGGAGAUGAGGAUAGUGAGACUGAUCUCUCGUACAUGGACGAGAUGUUUAUGUUAUUAGACGAGGAUCUUGAUGAUAUAAGUUCGGGAGAUUAAGUAUGCAUGUCUGUAUCGUACGUUCGAACAUAUUCAUACCCAUGACAUGUACAUAAACUAUACGAGGCAUCUUGCCGACCAUCAUCAGCAUGUCAGCAAGUUAAUUUAGUGGUUGUACAUUGCUGUGAUGUAAUUAUAUGGCCUUCUUAUUUAAAAUCCUGCCCUAACCUAACUUACACUAUUGAGCUAACCAUUGUUUAGUUUGUCUAUCGAAAUGAUUGAUUUGCUGUUUCACUUUUUCUCAACCGAUAGUCUUCGAUAGGCUAGUCAUUUUGUUAGGUUACUUUUGUUCUUUUCCCCUUACCGGAACAUGUUACAUGUGAAUGAUGUAUAUAUGACUAAAUGGUGACGAUCAUCGGGCGAAUAUGUACUCAAUUUCAAGAUCAAUGCAACCUAAGACGUGGGCAAAUAUUUACUGACCAAUUUACCUCUAAUAUUCAAAAGUAAAAGUAGUAUUUAUGUUUUUCACAAAGAUCGCGAAAAGAUUAUUUUUUCAAAUAUUUGAAUACCCUAAAAGUUUUCAAAUGUUUAAGAUUAAGAAGAGUCAAACUGUUAGUUUCAAUCAUUUCAUUGAAAAAGUAAAAUUAAAAAUCAGCAUGUAUGGAAUUUCUUCUUAAUGGUGCACCUGUGACCAAAACUCUCAACAAACAUCGAAUAUCUUGUCGAAUCAAAAACUCUAAAAGAGCUUUUUGGCACGCAAAGCUCAUUACCUUUAAAGGAAAACUGGCAUGGAUUGAAUAAGUACCAUGAGCUCAGUGUUUUUGAUUAAAGAUGAUGGACGAGAACUCCCCAUUUAACUAAUGGAGUUCUUUCAUCAAAUUGAAGCUAAGAACCUAAGAGUCAAGAACAAACAAGCAUUUAAUAUCUUCUUGUUAGUGCAUCUACUAAAACCUUAGUUUUGCUAGGUUUAUAUUUCAAGGCGAAAGAAAUAAUUAAAUUUUUUUUACCCGGUUGGCAUAUCUUGAAUUGAGAUUGUGUUGGCUACUAAUAUAAGGAGAGCAUCAUGAUUCAACUGAAGAACAAACUGUUUAGGCCACUAUUUAUGACUGUAGUAAUCAAGAGCUCUCAUGAUGGCAUAGAACUCUUUGCCAUAAGAGGAAAAGUUCUUCCUUAACCCCAUUAAUUUCUCACUAAAAAGAUUUUUGGGCUUGUAAAAGAACAACACUGAUGCCAACUCCACUCACAUCACAUUCUACAUCAAAUAUUUUAUCAAUACCUAGAAGGGCAAGGACAAGAGACCUAUAAAGAUUUUGUUUGAUGAUUCAAAGGCACCAUAGUAGCCUUGGACCAUUCGAAAGAUCUCUUGCUCAUGCAUUUAGUAAUGGGAGCCAUGAUGGCGUUGAAAUUCUUCAUAAGUCACCGCUAGAAAGAGGCAAGACCAUGGAAGCUCUUUACAUAAGAAAUGGACUUAGGGAUUGGCCACGUCUACAUCAAUUCCACCUUGGAUUGAUCAAUGAAGGUCCCAUUUUUUGUAAAAUUCGUAGUGAAGGAAUUCAGUGCUUGAAGAUAAGAACCAACGUUUUUCCAUCUUAGCAAUAGGUUUUCCAUAGCGUAAAUGAGAAUAUCAAACUUACAUUGCCCAAUGGACAUUAUAACCAGACCGAUCCAAAGUUAGGAGGAUAAUAUACAACUAACGGCAAGAGAUGCAAAAGAAUGGCGAAAGUGAAUCUUACAAGUGAGGUGAUCAUCUUUCCUCUCACUCCAGCACUUCAAGUAUCAUGUUGGCAAGACUAGGACUCUCAUAAGAAGAGAUCUUUAAGUAGGGAAACGGAAGUGCAUCGACAGCUUAUCCGAUGUCAUGGAAGUCGGACAAGCUUGUUGACAGCAGAAUCUAAAGCAUCAACAUUCCUUCUCAGAAUUUUUCUGAAGCAAUGUCAAGGAAAACACAAAUGAUAGCACAAACCUUUAAUUCAACUGGGGGAAAAAAAAAAAACGAAACUGUGUGGCUUUUACUUUCCAACGAAUGGGGUCGCUCGUUUGUAAGAAGUAAAAUGAUGCUUUUCAAUAAAUUUCUAAGUUCACGGGACAAAAAUGUGUUCAGGACAAACACUGCAGCAACGAUAAAGACUUUUUCGACGUGCGGACCCCUGGAGUGCCAUAACUUUGGCCAAAGGGACACUUAAGUGCCAUAACUUACGAAAGGUACACUUAAGUGCCACAUUUUAAGAAAAGUGGGACACCUAAGUGCCAUCUCCGGCGAAGUUGGCCGGAAAUCAUACGUGGCAUUAAAAUAUUAAUAUUUCUCGCUGAUGUGUCUCGCCGGAGAGCUGAAUCAGCUCGAAUUCGGCCAAAACGACGUCGUUUUGACAUCAUUCGAAUUUUAUAAUAAUAUAAAAAUUAUUUAAAUUAAAUUUAAAAAUAAAUUUAUUUAAAACAUUUUUAAAAAAUUUAGAAACUUUAAACAUUAAAAAAAAAGAAUUACAAAAUUACAAAAAAUUUACAAAUUUACAAAAAAAAUUAAAAAAUUACUAAAAAAUUUAAAAAAUUUACAAAAAAAAUUUAGAAAGUUACAAAAAAAUUACAAAAAAUUACAAAAAAUUUACAAAAUUUACAUAAAAUUUAAAAAAUUUAGAAAAAAUUUUAAAAAUUUAAAAAAAUAAUUAAAAUUUUAAAAAUUUUAAAAAUUUGCAAAAAAUUUUUAGAAAGUUACAAAAAAUUUACAAAAUUUAUAAAAAAAAUUUACAAAAUUUACAUAAAAUUUACAAAAUUUACAUAAAACUUACAAAAUUUACAUAAAAUUUAAAAAGUUUACAAAAAAUUCAAAAAAUUUACAAACAAUUUUAGAAAGUUACAAAAAAUUUAAAAAACUUACGAAAUUUACAAAAAUUUAAAAAAUUUACAAAAAAUUUCAGCCCUCAACCGGCACCCUUUUCUUCUUCUUUUUUAAAUUAUUUUUUUGUAACUUUUUUAAUUUUGCAAAUGUUUUUAAUUUUUAAAAUUUUAUUUUUAAAAUUUUUAAAUAAAUUUAUUUUUAAAUUAAAAUUAAUUAAUUUUCUAAAAUUUUUAAAAUUUUUUUAAAUUUUCUAAAAUUUUUUGAAUUUUUUUUUAUUUUUUUAACUUUUAAUUUAUUUUUAAUUUAUUUUUAAUUUUUAAAUAUUUUAUCAAUUUUUAUAGAUUUUUAUAAAUUUUUAUAGAAUUUUAUAAAUUUUUAUAAAAUUUUUACAAAAUUUUCUAAAUUUUUUUAAAUUUUUAAAUUUUUUAAAUUUUUUUAAAUUUUUUUAAUAUUUUAGUUGUUUGAAAUUUUUUAAAUUUUUUAAAAUUUUNNNNNNNNNNNNNNNNNNNNNNNNNNNNNNNNNNNNNNNNNNNNNNNNNNNNNNNNNNNNNNNNNNNNNNNNNNNNNNNNNNNNNNNNNNNNNNNNNNNNAAAUGAAAGAAACUCAUGCAUGAGCCUGGUGAACUGAUUAUUAUUUUUGAAUCAGACUAGUGCUCUUUUCGCGCUCAGAUAGGGUUAGUUUCAAUGAUUACGCUCAAAUCUUGAUCUUCAUCGUCAUGAUUACGCAACCCAAUUCUCUCUCGUCCACCCAGAACGGCCGAACAUAUCACUUUCAACCCCACCACUUUUGCAAAUUGGCAUCAAAACCCCUUCUUUUUCUGGGGUCCUUCACGUAGAUAUUUGUCCCCAUCACGCAAUUUAAAUUUCCCACUAUAUGCUGCGCUGUCCUUUUUCACCGCCCCUCGUCACAUCAAUCCCUUCCCUAUGCUACAGCUAUUACAUGCUCGUCCUCCUAAGAAAAAGUGGCACUAUCAUCGUCGGGUUCAAACAUAAAGGGACACAUGGACAGUGAUCGCAGCUAGGGGUCACUUCGACCCAGAACUGUUGAUUGCUUUAGUUGGUGAGACCUUUUGAAAUGAUGCGUCCGGAGAAAGAGAAGACACGGAGUUGGGGCUGGUCAUGGAGUGCGCGAGAGAUCGACGCGUAAAAAAAGGGUUGAUUCAAGCAAGGUCAAACGUACGAAAAGGAGAUCACAUUUACAACCUGCGCCCGCUAGGGCGUCCGUAUCUGGAGUUUUACAGAAAGUUAAAGACUCAUGAUCAUGCAUGCAUGCUGCGUGAAACUUGUCAUGAUGACUUAAGCUAUUCCUUGAAGAUGUUUUUCAUAGAUCCUCCGAAAAACCCUUGAAAGCGUUUCUGGGUUUUAUGAGUAGGGAAUGUGUAGUUAAACUACUUCAAAAUUGGACUCGUUGCCUAUGUUUUAUCCCUGUGUGGAUGGGUUGAUUGCCAAGAAAAAACCCCAGUUGAAUGUGUAAUUCUGUUUGGCCGAGAGUUUAGUAAUAUCACUUGAUUUGAGUUUGAUUUUAUGUGACUUCAUGCAAAGAAGAAAUUCUACUCCCAGGCAAGAAGAUUGAUAGCUAAUAACUGACCCUUGGGUACACUGAGAAUUUGAGACAAGCAAUUGAUAUUAAUGACAAGUUACUCAGAUAUUCGAUCAUGAACAAAUGGAAUUGGACAAUUCUUGAUGACAAAGAAGCUCAAUUCUCCGCAUACACCACCGAGUACAAAUAAUUUCAUUGGAACAGAAGGGACUUAUCUUCGUCCUGUACAUGAGAUCUAGCUCUUCUCAAGGAGCAGUUCCACUUUGGAAAAAAAAAAGGAUAUAUAUAUAUAUAUUAUAUAAGAAAAUAAUGAAACCAAAAAAUUAGUUCGAAUGUCAUGCAUCCGCUCUCGGUCAUCAAAAUUCGAUUACUUUCAGCUCCUGUUCCCAUUUUUAUAUCAUCGAAAAUUGCCAAACUAAUCCGCAAACUAGAGAUUCGGACGAAACCUGAAGUUUAGUUGCACAUCAUCAUCAUCAUCAAGAGCUGUUUCUGUGCUCUUGUCUUUUAGCGCAAUUUUUUUCGCUGGUACGAAUGUUUUAUUUAUAUGAGAUAGCUGUCGACAAACUCGUCACGAACCUCAAAAAUAACCAAACCAAACUCUCAGAUUGGAUUCUCCGUCGCACUCAAAGUAGGGGUGUCUCUGAUUUGGUCCUACCUGAGAAAUGAUGCAUAGACCCUUAUCGGUCNNNNNNNNNNNNNNNNNNNNNNNNNNNNNNNNNNNNNNNNNNNNNNNNNNNNNNNNNNNNNNNNNNNNNNNNNNNNNNNNNNNNNNNNNNNNNNNNNNNNUCGCCGGAAAAUUGACACGUCAGCAUUUUGGCCGGAUUUUGGCCGGAUUGGCACUCAAGUGAUCCAUUUUACUCCGAUUUUGGCACUUAAGUGUACCUUUCGUAAGUUAUGGCACUUAAGUGUCCCUUUGUGCAAAGUUAAGGCACUUGAAGUGUUCUUUUGCCAGACUUUUUCCAUCUAGUCAAGGAUACAAUUGUGUCGCUAGACUUUCCAUGCCUUUCAUUUCUUCAUUUAAUCUGCAAUAACAAGAAUCCAAGCCAAAAAACUUACUGACACUAGCAAACAUCGAUUACUAAAGAGCAAAAUGUGACCAAAUUCCAAAUAGCAACAACUUAGUAUAUAAUGAAUAGUCUAAAAGCUAGAAUGGUGUUAGCAACGGGCUCUUCAGUUAAAUUAAUGCACAUCCUUUGCUCUUGAUUCAAGAAGCUAAUAAUCUAAUGUUCCAGUCGCACCAGGAAAUCACUCGCAUUCUCUCAUUGAAAAUAGGAAUUUUUAUGUGAAGAGAACAUGCAAAAACCUCACCAUUAGUUUCCACAGAAAUUUUUUUCUUGAGUAUGACUCAUACUCAUGUAUCAUCACUUCGGGCUUGACACCCGUCUGGUGCAUCAUUGGCUCGUCGGGACGAAAGCUGCAGGGACGUUGUGUUUAAUGGAGGAGAGGAGGGACGACGGAGAAAUCGAGAGCGCGGAGAAAUCGAGAGCGCGGAUCACUGCUGGGCGAAGCAGAGGUUAUGGCGGGUGGUGGCCGACGCGAGGGGCGGAUAGCAGCGGUGAGAUGGCGAGAGGAACUAGAGGCUGUGGCGGGUGGCAGUCGGCGCGAGGGGCGAACAGCAGCGGCGAGAUGGCGAGAGGAACCAAAGGCUGUGGCGAGUGGCGGCCGGCACGAGGGGUGGACAGCAGCGGCGAGAUGGCGAGAGGAACCAAAGGUUGUGGUGGGUGGCGACCGGCGCGAGGGGCAGACGCCAACAGCGAGAUGGCGAGAGGAACCAGAGGCAGCCGUAGAAGAAAUUGAAGAGAAGUGAGAUGAGAGUCGAGCUCGAGAAGGUGAGAUCUGAUUCUGACCUAGGUUUGUUUUUAGUAAUUUUUUUUUAAUAUUAAAAGGAACCGAUUCGGUCCAGGCGGGCGGGCAGGUGGAUCCACCCAUGGAACCGGGAACCGGACCGGUUCCCUCAAGAUCCGUCGGUUCCGGGCGGUUCCGGUCUGAUUCUGGGCAGUCCGGGCGAUUCCCAGGUAUUUUGCACACCCCUAAGGGCUACUUAAGCACAAGCAUAGAUCAAAGGACUUACUUCUGCCUCAGUUUCUGAGUGCGGGACACCUGGAGUGCCAUAACUUGGCACGCCGGGACACUUAAGUGCCAUAACUUUAAAAUGGUACACUUAAGUGCCAUCAUCGGAGUAAAAUGGGACACUUAAGUGCCACUCCGGCGAAAAUCCGGCCAAAUGGCUGACGUGGCGACUUUCCGGCGAGCUUGGUCCAAAACGGCGUCGUUUUGCAUGCUGACGUGGCGGAGAAAAUGCAAAAACGACGCCGUUUCGCGUCUACGUGUAAAUAAUAGUAUAUAAAUUAAUUAAAUUAGAUUUAAAAUAUUCAAAAAUUUUAAAAAAAUAAGAAAAAUUUUAAAAUUUUAAAAAUUAAGAAAAAUUUUAAAAUUUUAAAAAUUUUAAAAAUUAAGAAAAAUUUAAAAAUUUUAAAAAUUUUAAAAAUUAAGAAAAUUUUAAAAAUUUUAAAAAUUUUAAAAAUUAAGAAAAUUUUAAAAAUUUUAAAAAUUUUAAAAAUUAACAAAAAUUUAAAAAUUUUAAAAAUUUUAAAAAUUAAGAAAAUUUUAAAAAUUUUAAAAAUUUUAAAAAUUUUAAAAAUUUUAAAAAAUUAGAAAAUUUAAAAAUUUUAAAAAUUAAGAAAAUUUUAAAAAAUUAAGAAAAAUUUAAAAAAAUUAAGAAAAAUUAAAAAAAAUUAAGAAAAUUUUUAAAAAUUUAGAAAAUUUUAAUUUUUUUUAUAAAUUAAGACAAUUUUACAUUUUUUAAAAAUUAAGAAAAAUUAUAAAAAAUAAAAUUAUAAAAAAAGUUAUAAAAAGGGGGGGGGGGGUGGGAGGCCCGCACGGGGGCGGCUCCCUUGCCGCCCCCCGGGGGGGUCCCUCACCGGGCGGCAACUUCAACCGGCCGGCGCCUCCCCCCCCCUUUUUUUUAAUUUUUUAAAUUUUUAAAAAUUUUCUAUUUUUCUUAUUUUUCUAAAAUUUUUUAAAAUUAAAAUUUUUAAAAUUUUCUUAUUUUUUUAAAUUUUUUUUAAUUUUUUAAAAUUAAAAUUUUCAUAAUUUUCUUUUUUUUUUAAUUUUUUAAAAAUUUUUAAAAUUAAUAUUUUUAAAAUUUUCUUAUUUUUCAAUUUUUUUUAAUUUUUUAAAAUUAAAAUUUUAUAAUUUUUUUUAUAAUUUUUAAAUUUUUUAAAAUUAAAUUUUUUAAAAUUUUCUUUUUUUUAAUUUUCAAAAUUUUUUAAAAUUAAAAUUUUUAAAAUUUUCUUUUUUUUUUAAUAAUUUUUUUAAUUUUUUGAAAUUGAAAAUUUUAAAAUUAAAACUUUUUAAUUUUUUUAAUUUUUUUUUUAAUUUUUAUGCUGAUUUGGAGCUCCGGCGAGCCACGUAGGCAAAUAAUAAUAAUAAAAUAUUGCCACGUAGGAUUUCCGGCAAGGGUCGCCGGAGGUGGCACUUAAGUGUCCCAUUCGAAAAAAAAAGUGGCACUUAAGUGUACCGUUUUGAAGUUAUUGCACUUAAGUGUCCCGGCGUGCCAAGUUAUGGCACUUGUGGUGUACUUCUGCCCUCAGUUUCUUCAUGCAAGUCAGUAUAAUUCAAAUACUCAACCAUUCAAUUCAAACCAAAUCAAUUCAAGCCAUCGAUCAACUGAAUUACUCAAUUCGAUACAUUCAUUACCAUCUAUAAAUUUGAUCGAUUUGAACACUGCUCACCUAAGCUGAAAUAGAUGGUCUAGCUCACCAAAGUUGAUAUAUAUAUAUCACCAAAGCUGAUGUCUAUAUUGUUCACCAAAGUUGCUAUAUCAAUUAUUGCUCAUCGAAGCUGCUAAAUAACUGUACUGCUCACCGAAGCUGAUAUCUAAAGUGCUCACUGAAGCUACUAAUGUAUUAUUGCUCACCGAAGUUGCUAUAGAUCUAUAUUGGUGUUAAUGCUCCCCGAAGCUGUUAUAGAUCUAUAUUGCUCAUCUAAGCUGAUCAAUGCUCACAUAAGCUAAACUACGAUAAUUUACUCCUAGCCAAGGAUAUUGUGCUUCGCACAUUAAUUUCUCAAUUAAAUACCCAACUUGGCCUAAUUUCAUUGUGUUAAAAUGCACCCGAUAAAAAUAAUUGUGUGUGGGUAUACGGUCGACUUGAGCAAAAAAUAUAAUAUCUUUAUUUUAGAAAAUCCCACCAUUUAUAUAGUGUCUGAAAAUAUUUUUGGCGUUGUAAACCUGUGGCAUCCCAAAAUUCAAAGCCAAGACAUAAGGUGUGUUAAAGUCUCUAAUUAGGUGAUAGAAUUUCCAUGGCUUAUGCUUUAGCCAUUAGCCUUUUUAAUUAGAUGAUUUGUGCAUAUGAUUGUGGAAAUUUAAAUUUGAUAGAUUAAUAAUUUAUGCUUGGCCAUGUACUUUAUAAAUUAAAUUCCAAUAACCAAGAUGUCCCAAGACUUUGGCCAAGAUGAAAAUUGAAAUUUAAAAAUAUUUAUAGAAGAAAUUCAAAAAAAAGGGGAAAAGGGGUUAAUUUUCGAAUGGGCCUUAGGCCCAUUGGCCUAAGCCUUUAAUGGGCCAAGAUGAGCGGCCCAAGAGGGGAAGUCGACCGGCCCAAUAGAGGCCCAAGGGAAGUGGUCGCCAGCCAUAGAGGAGCCCAAGCCCAAAAGCCCAACUCCAAGGCCCAUAAUGCAUGUAGUUGGACAAGUGGCAAAGGGGAAGGCCAUGCAUUGGUUGGUUUUUAGGCAAUCUCAUGAUUGCUAAUCAUGAGAAGUUGGGGAAAUAAGAAGGAAGAGAGAGAGGGUGGCCGGCCAUUUGCUCGCCCAAGGAGAGAGAGAGAGAGAGAGAGAGAGGUGUGCGAGAGAGGAGGAGCGGCCGAGAGAGAGGAGGAGGGAACCGCCGUCCGUUCGCCGUCCGUCCACCGUGUUCGCCGCCGUACGCCGUCAACCGUCCGUCCUAGAGGCAAGUGGAAGUCAUCUAGCUUCUCUUGCAUGUUUGUAUGUUGUUUGCAUGUUAGAUUUUGGGCGUUUAAGUGAGAAAAACCGAGGUAUGGUUGGCUUGUUCUUAAACUGCAUGACUGUUCUUGUUCGGACCGUGUGAGUCAGAAACUUGUUUGAGCUUGAAUGUGUGUUUAGAGUCAGAUUUUGGCUUCUAUUUCUUCAUGAGAGUUGUAUCUAACAUCUUGAACUACAACAUACUGAAAUUUCGUGGAAAAUGAUGGAUAUUUGAUGGGUUAAAGUCUUAUUCUACGGAGACCUCAGAUCUGGAGAGUUUUCACUGACCUCUUGCUAGAUUCGUGAUUGCAUGUUGGUUUGUGAUGAGAAUAUCACUUCUAUUUCUUCAUGAAAGUUGUAGGAGACAUCUUAAAAUACAACAUACUCAAAUUUUAAGUGAAAUGAACAAGUAUAGCCUAGUAAAUCGACUAGAUCUUGAAGAUGAUGGUUCUGGUGAUGUAUUCCGAGAUACCCGAGACUUCAUGGACAUAGAUGAUGACUAUAAUCUGGUUAUUUGACCUAGAUCUAUUCAUGAAACUUGUAGAGGACACCUUGAUGUAUAACAUAUAUAAAUUUCAGAGGAAACUAAAGAGAAUAAGUAGGUGAAAUCUCAAUAUUUCGGAGAUGUGUACACUGGACGAUGCGGUAAUGGAUCCAGAAGCUUCGUGAGGUUGUAGAAAAUAAUCUAAAAAUAAUCUGGCCUGGAGUUCUUCAUGAAAAUUGUACGAAAAUAUCUUGGCUAUCAUUAUGUAAAAUUUCGUAAUUUUUGGAGGCCGUAUGGAUAUUUUAAUCGAAUUUAUGCGGAAACUGUGCAUUCUGGUUAUUAUCCGAAUAUUAUGUGCUAUUUUGUAGAAAUUGUGAAAUUGUGUGAAAUUCAAUUUGGCCAUGAAUUUUGCAUGAAAUUGUCAUCCUAUUGGUUUGUUUAAUUAUUGCUUGAAUUUUAUGAUUUUGGGAAAUUAUAGAUAUUGAAUUUAAUAUUUAUUUAUGAUAAUAAAAAUAAAUAAAAAUAAAAAUAAUAAAAUAAAAUGGAUUAUUUUAUUGGCCAUAAAUUCCAUUGAAUUUAUUAAUAAAUAAUUAUACAUUGUUGCAUGUAUGAUAAGACAUUGGUGUAUGUAUGACCAUGAAUUGUGAUGCAUGUGUGAAUCAUAUGUCAUGUUAAAAUGAGAUCAAAAUGAUGAUAAAUGUGGAUAAUGAUAAGUGAGUAAGUGGUUGUGGUGGAGGAUGAGACUGGAAUGUACAGAGAUGCAUUGCUGGAUUCCCUGAGAGAUUUAGGAUGCCCGGAAUGUGGGGGGCCGGAAGCCUUGUCGGAGGUGUUUGCCCGAAAGGAAUGCCUCGCGAUGCCAGGAUUUGGGGUGCGGGAUGCCUGGCCAGGGAGUGUAAAUGCCGGAAGCCCUAUCGGAGGUUUCUGCCCGAAGGGAAUGCCUCGUGAUGCUAGUUGAGAUGCGAGAUGCCCGGAAUGUGGGGGGCCGGAUGCCCGGUGGCCUGGGAGGCUAAAUGCCGGAAGCCUUGGAGGUCUUUGCCCAAGGGGAUGAUAAAAUUGAUGAAUUGAGAAAUGGGUGAUGUGGUGAUCAAGAUUAAAAUCUAAAAAGUGGAAAUUUAAUCAUGAUAUGAUAUGCAUGAUGACAUGCAUGAUAAUGAUGAUGAUGAUAUGUGAUGUGAAAUAAUGAUGAUCACCCAUGAUAUGAUAUGCAUGAUGAUGAUGAUGAUGAUGAUGAUAUGUGAUGUGAAAUAAUGAUGAUCAUCCAUGAUAUGAUAUGCAUGAUGAUGAUGAUGAUGAUGAUAUGUGAUGUGAAAUAAUGAUGAUUACCCAUGAUAUGAUAUGGAUGAUGAUGGUGAUGAUGACAUGUGAUGUGAAAUAACGAUGAUCACUUAUGAUAUGGUAUGCAUGAUGAUAUGCAUGGUAAUGAUAAUGAUGAUGAUAUAUGAUAUGGCUCGAUGACAUGUGUAAUGAUGACAUGUAUGAUGAAAUGAUAUUAUGAUGAUGAUGACAUGUAUGUUACGAUGAUGAUACACAUGAAUGUGUUAUGUAUUGGUAUGAUGAUGCAUGAUAGUAUGCGCAUGGCUUCAAGGUAAGUAAUGCCUGUAAUGCAUGUAUGAUUGCAUGAUGCAUUGAGUUGUUAUUGGAUUUCCCUAUCUGCUGAGUGGUUGUACUCACCCCUUUGGGGACCCACAUUUCAGAUUAGCAGUAUGCUGCUUCCUGCCGUCACGCGGGGGGUAUUUUACGGUCUACCAUCCGAUGUAGAGGUUGAGUGUGCUGAGAUAGACUGUCCCUCUAUUCUCGGACUUACUUUUAUUCAAGUACGAUGUCUAGUGAUGUACGACAUAGGCCUGGCUGGGGGCCCUGUCAUUCAGGAGUUCAUAUCUGUGCACGUUCGUCGGGAUGGAGCGAUGCGAGGGAUGUUGCCGCCGCCACCACCUGAUGCACUGGGUUGGGUGUGAGACCCGCGCGCGAUGAGUAGGAGCUGGAUCUUUUUGAAUAUAGAUAGCCGACACUUUUGAUGGGGGUUGUGCACGUAUGAUGUUAAGGGUCGAGGGUUCUUUUUGAGGUUUUAGGCUGGACGUGGCUGAGUCCUAGCUUUUCCUUUUUGUUGUACCGACCUGAAGAGAAUCCCAUCUUGAAAUAUAUGUAAAUAAAGUGUCGUGGCCUGUUUAUAAAAAUGAUGGUGAUUAGUAGUGUGUAUUUGUAUCAUGGUUGGUAGGGGGAGAGACGGUGAUAUUUUAAUUUGCUCCCGCUAAUGAGUCGCGCUGGAACCGUUUUAAAAAAAAAAAAUGUGUCUGCGUAUUAGGACACUUCUUCGAAAGACAGAAAGGUAAUAAGGUGUAAUAUUGGCGCUGGUGACGACCUGCGAAGGGUUCGGGGUGUCACAAAACCGACGCCCCGAUAAUUUCUAAUUAAUUAUUGAAAUUAUUCAAUUUUGGGAUAAUUACCCAAAAUUACAAACAACACUCAAUUUGUACAAUCUAGCAUUCAAUUAAAUAAACCAAUCACACAAUUGCAAUCAACAUGAAAGUCCGAUCAUCGAUUAUCCCGGUCUAAUUUCCAGAAAAAUUAAUUAAUUAAAUAAUUGCCAAAAUUAAUUAAUUAAAUACCAAUAAAUGCCAUAAUUAUAAACUUAGGCCGGAAAAGCCUAAUUAAAUGCCGAGAUGGGCCUGGAAAAUUUCCGAACCUAUCUAGAUAAAUACUACGGAUUAUCUACUUGCUAAUUACACUACUCUAACCACCUAACAUGCAUAAAUGAGUAAUUAAAUCACUAAUCCAUUCUAAGUAACCACCUUAUCCCUAAUUAACUUAAACUAAUCAACCCUUAAGCAUAAUUAACUCUCUAAGUAGAGUUUGAGUAAACUCAUCGGAUUUGCGAGCCGGUGAGUCCACGGCGAUGGCGACGCAGAGAUGGGUGAUAAAUUCUGAAGUGACGGCACCAACGGGGACCAAACUGAGGCCGAAAUCGGCCCCGCAAAGCUCACGGUUGAGUUGAGUUUCUGCUUCUGCGUUGCGGGUCUUGUUGGUCGUGGCUUUGAGAGAGGAGGACAUGGGCUGGACGUGCAUGGGCUGAGUUGUGGACAUCGGUGGAAGCAAGAGAAGGUCGUGGGGUUGGAUCGGUGGAAGUGGGGCUGCAGGUGUCACUUUGUUGGGCUGUUCGAUGAGGGGGGGAAAGAUCGUGGGCGCUGCUGGUGGGAGGCACGCGGACACGUUAGUGUGAAGGCCUGUGGUCCAUGGGCUGCUGAAGUUGACUAGUGAGGUGGCAGCUACAAACUUCGGUGGAGGAGCUGCCUUGAAGGAAAGAAGACCAAGCUGUAGGGAAAUGGGGGCAAAAGAUGGUGGAGAUGGCAGAGAACGUGCAGGGGAAAAUGAAAGUGGAAGAGAAGUCGCUAAGGGGGUGUCGAUGGAGUGGGUGCGGGCGAGAGAGAGAGAGAGAGAGAGAGAGAGAGAGAAAGAAGAAGAAGAAGAAGAAGAAGAAGAAGAAGAAGAAGACCUCGGUGCUUUGCUGGCAGAAGAGGAAGAGAUAAGGGUGGGCAGAGGGUGUCGGCCAAGGGGAAACAAACGUGCAGAAAAAGAAAAGAAAAGGGAGAGAGAAGGAAUGUCGGCCAGGGGGACCCCUUUCAUGCAUGGGCUUCGAACGAAGAGAGAGAGAGAGAGAUGUGCAAAUAGGAGAGGGGAAUGCAGCUGGCGUCCGAGAGCUGUGAAUGGGAGGUUUGAAGUAACAAAAAUAUAAUGGCUACCAUUCCCUACGAUCUACUGUAGAUGUCAAGGUACAAGAUAUUGCAUCCUCCUCCUACCACCCACCCCGACAGCUUUGGGACAAGAUUUGGCAAAUGAAAACCCCACCGAAGAUACGCAUCUUUAUGUGGUCCUUAUGCCACAACGCUCUAUCAACAAAGGACAAUCUUUAUCGCAGGAAAAUAAUCACUGAUCCUACGUGCCAGAUUUGUCAUCAUCACACCCCAGAGACUACGGAACAUAUCUUUCUGCAUUGCCCAUGGACGCGCAAGAUUUGGUCUCAUUCAGCAGUUAAACUAAAUCCAACAGACUUUAAUACAAAUCGCAUGGAUGCUUGGUUAGCAAAUUUGAUAUGCAAGAAGAAGGCCAUACCUGAUUUGGAAACCCUGGCACAUAUCCUCUGGCACCUCUGGAAAUCCCGAAACCUUUUUGUAUUUCGUAGGGCUGUUCCUGAUCCACAACAAGUUAUUUUGGCAGCUUUUGCAUCUGCCCAAUCUGCUUGUCGAUCCCAUGAAGUGUGGACGCGCUCUUCCCCCAACCUCCUGACCUCAGAGCACCUAUGGAAGCCUCCGGAUCCUGCCGAGAUAAAGAUUAAUAUAGAUGGAGCCUUUUCUUCCACAUCAAAGGAGGGAUCUGUGGCUUCUAUUUGGCGUGAUCACUCUAGUCGACUAAUCAAUGGAUCUACACAGACUGUUCUAGCAACUACGGCGUUGCAAGUAGAAACUCAAGCCCUUAUUGUCACCUUACACGAUUUGCUACAAAAGAAAAUGGAAAGGAAGCAACUCAUUGUGGAAUCUGACUGCUGGGUGCUUGUCCAUGCUCUGCGGAAUCCAUGCUCGACACCAUGGGAAGCUCGCUCUCUCAUCUCUGAAGCUGCGGCACUCAUCCCUUGCUUCUCUUGGUUACGCAUACUGUUCUGCAGGAGGGAAGCGAAUAGAGUAGCCCACUGGGCUGCAUAGGCCCAUGAACACCGAAGUCUAGCCCAUAAUUGGAUCUUUUCUCCUCCACCGCUCCUGUUGGAUUUGCUUUGUACUGACAUUAUGCCCUAUGGUGGCACUUUUGGUUGAUAUCAAUCUACGGUCCUCUGUUUUCGUCAAAAAAAAGUAACAAAAAUAUCUUGAAUGGGUGUUUAAUCAUCCUCAAUUUCAGCUUACCUUCAACCAACAAAAUCAAUUGAUCAACCAAGACCAAUUUCUACACCAAUUGUCCCAAUUGAAGUCCAAAUGAAGACCAAAAUGUAACAGCCCCUCAGGCCUACGAAUUUUCUCCAAUUGAACUUCCAUUUCUUCAUCCAUUUCUCAAUUUGAUGUCCAAAUUUGCUGAGGAAGAAGCCCACACAAGUUUCACAACUUCCCUUCACCAAAUAGCUCACUAAGGAGGCCAAACGUACCUUCAAUUUGGCUCAUUUGAAUUCUCGUUCUUUUCCGAAUCGUCCGAAUCGAUUUUCCGUAAAAAUCCUGAACUCGUCAAAAAUUCCUCAAAAGAUGAGUCGACAUUCUUAAAAUAAAUUGUGACCUAAUAGAACUUUCUAUUUCUGAAAUUGGUUUCAAAUUCGCAGUUAAUUUCAACUGAACACGAUUUUAGCGUGACCCAACCUACCGGGUAACUUUAGGAAUUUUUAGUGUAAUGGACCCGUGGUCAAUUUUCUUCGAGCCACAACGUACCUCUUCGACACAUUGGCGACCCUCGGUGUUCGUGAAAAUCUUGAGGUUUCAACUAUGGAUACAAGGUACCAAAACGACAGAAAAAUUAGUCUAGUAUCGAUCGACGAGAAUUUUGCAAUUUAGUGAAAUCAUCCACGUUUAGCCACACAUCUUAGUCUAACCGACCUAUCUCUGAUCUCUAAUCGAUUUUUAAAUGUGCCGUAAUGACCUCUGUAGAUGAGCAUGGUCGAGUAGUCGCAAUCUGGUUGAAUUCUCAAGUCUAUUGCGUUAAAAUCUUUUAACGGCUUCACCGGAUAGACUAGUUAUUUUGUGAGUGGCCAUCUUGGAGAAUAACACUAUAUGCAUGUCGAUGAAAAGCCCAACUUAUCCAAUCGAAAUUAGAAUAUGAAAAUCAGAAUGUCACAUGAUGUAUUUCUGUCCCUUGUGAAAUGAGUAAGUGCUUUUAUAUGUCUAUCAUGCACAACUUUCUUAUCAAAUUGUCAAGGACUCCACAACAAUAAAGGGUAUGCAUCCACAGAAGUAACAUCAUAUAGAACCUAAUCUUGGUGACUUUUACCAAUUGAAAAUUGAUACAAGAACUUGUUCUUGAAGGUCAAGCCAUUAAAGAUUGUACAAUUGAGGAUGUUGAGAAGUGUGUAGCUUCAACUUUUCUAUCUAAGUUGUGGAUGUUACAUUGGUGCAUCUCCUAUUAUCGAUAAUCAAUUUACACCACCUUCUCGUUAAUGGCGCAACGGGUUCUAAAGAUGUUCUUCCUUUACUCUUUCAUCUUUGGAGCAACGCCCUCUAGAUAAUCAACAAGUCAUUUUCAUUAGCUUGUUCCACAAUCUUAUCUUGCUCUUUGAAUUUGAAUUCAAUCUGAUCUGGACCUAACUCAACUUUUUGAAGCUCCAAGUCAAUUUUCUUCAUCACUUCUGAAAGGUUAUGAUUCUCCGGUUAGGACUUUCAACUUGCAAAUGUCCAUAACCAUGAUACUUGAAGCAUUUCCAAUUUGCGCCUCAAAAUAUUUUGUGGUAUUCUUUGAUAAAUCCCAUUGACUUCUCUUUUUCUUUGUCCUUCUUCAAAGUAUUCUUAAUCAUAUUAGAAGAAGAACCCUUAAAGAAAAACGUCCCCUUUGUUGAAGGUUUCAUUGAAAAACUAUUGCCACUCUUUUUCUCUGUCCUUCUUUAAAGUAUUCUUAGUCAUGUUAGAAGAAGAACCCUUAAAGAAGGAUGUCCCCUUUGUUGAAGGUUUCAGUAAAAAACUAUUGCCACUCUUAGUUUUUUUCUCCACUUUUAUCACCGGCUUGCAAACAUCUUCAAAGAAUCAAUAUGGUUAAAACUCAACGAAAUUUGUGAUCUCCCUAUUCAUCACUUUGAAGAAGCAAGCGAUGAUUUGCUCUUGUAUUUUUGGAGAAGUUGUUCAAACUCCCUAAUAUAUCCUUCGAUGUUGAUCUCAUGUUGCUCGAGAGAAUUCAGCUUGAAAGAUAGAUCUUGCUUGUAGUUGUCAAGCAAGUCAUAAGCUUCUUGAAUUUUUCCCAAGAAUUGACUCUACCUUUUCUUUCCCUUAUUCUUUGAUUUUGCAGGUUUUCCCACUAUAGUAAAGCAUACUUUUUGAACUUAAGAAUAGCAAUAACAUCAUAUUUCAUCCAAGUAUAACUUGAUGUCAAAUAUUCAUUCAAUAGCAUUCAAUCAAUCAACAAAGUCAUCUGACUUGAGAUUAACUUCAAAUUUAGGCACCUAGAUUUGGAGUUUGUGGUCAUUAUCCUUUGUGCCUUCCAGUUCUUCUUUUAACCUGAUAAUUUGAAUAUGUAGAGUUGUCUCUAGUGUUGUUGGAUUCAUCAUUGGUGUUUAUAUUGGGUUUGGGAUUAGCAUGGCAUGGACGAUGAACCGAAGGUCUCUGUAGCUAUUCUUGUCUCACUUGAUUCUCUAGGAGAAUGAGGCUUCGCUCCAUUUGUCGUUGGAGAUCCUGUAAAGCAUGGUUAUGCUUUUCAUUGCGGGCUUGUUCCAAAUUUAAGCCUCUAAGAACUGGUUUAUCAUUAUUUUAGAACACAAAUAUAUAAGAUAGAUGAUAUAAGAAAUCAUUCAAAAUGAGUUCAACCUUAAAGCACAAAUACUAACUUCAUGCACGGUGAAAAUUAAAGGAUGAUAAACGUAUGAUGGAUAAGUGUAUGAAAAUGUGUUUUGAAUGAAGUAAGGUUGAAAUUAAAAAGUUCACCACCAAGACAAAAAAGGACAAUCCACCAACUAAGGAUGAAGAACUCAAGGUUCACAACCAAAGUGAAUUUAAUAAGAAAUCGAAUAUUUAUGUUCGUAUAUGUAAUUUCCAGUUUUUUCAGAGGAAAAUAAGUGUUUAAAGAAAAUAUUUUCUGAUCAGUGGAAAAUGUCCUUCUAAAUUGCGUAAUGAAUUUUCAAUCUGUCUCCCUCACACUCAUGUCCUCUCUUCGUUUUCCCAUCUAUUUCAUGCUUCCUCUCCUCCCUCUCUCUAGAGCCACUGCUUUGCCCCAUCUUUCUCACCCAACCUAGGUCUUCUUCGUCUCAUUCCUCAUCUCUAGAGCUAUUCCUCCUCCAUUGCUGCCUUACGCUUCUUUCUGUCCCAUGGAGACACGAUUUUUGAGAUAAUCACUGUAAUUAGUUCUUAUUUUUUGUAAAUUGAUUUCUUUGCUUAGCAGCUAAUUCAAGGGAAAGUGCAGAAACAAAUCUUCAAGUUUAGUGUGAUAGCAAUGUCUUACCAUUUGGCGCUAUUAGUAGUUUUGGGUAUUCGUCCAAUUUUUUUUUAUUUGGAUCUCCCCCUUCAUGUAUGGCUACCUGAUGCCCUAUGUAGUACGGACACUCUCCGGAAGCUUUCGUGUUGUGUCCGACACUCCGACAUGUGUUCGACAUGCUUCGACACGUCCCGACACGCUCCGACACGCGGUCAACGAGUGUCGAAAAAUCCGACACGUGGUUAACUCUCUCUGACACGCGAUUCCGAAAUGCAUGGGGUCAAAUUUUAAAAUUUCUAAUACUUGAGGGGUCAAAGUAUAAAUAUACACAAAAGAAGUAAUAAAAGAAGUAAUAAAAUUGCUAUAAAUAUACACGUACGGCGUCAAUUUUUUUUUUCUGUUUUGUUUUUUAGAAUUUUUUUAUUUUUUUAAAAAGUCUUUUACUAUGAAAGAAGUAAUAAAAAUGCUAUAUAUGAUAAAUGAAUAAAUUUAAAAAUAUCAUUUCAACAUUUUUCUUUAAACAAUGUUUUUUUCCUCUAAGUUUUGUGUAUUAUUGUAACAAAUUAAAAUAAUGAAUGAUAUUAUUUAAUAUUUUUCGUGUAAAUUAAUUCUAGGCUAUUAUUAUUAUUAUUAUAUAUAAAAAUAUAUUUAAUAUAUAACGUGUCGGAACGUGUUGAAAUUCUCUAUUUUUAAGAAAUGACGUGUCGGCGUGUCGUGUCGUGUCGUGUCACGUGUCCGUGUCGGUGCUACAUAGUUGAUGCCAUGGAAGACCUUACUCCCAUUUGGUUUCCUUCUUGACGAACAUUGUAGGGUUCUUUUGUUUUCUGAAUAUGGAUUGUGGUCUCUUCAUUCAUUCUGCAUUUCUAGAGCAGCUUGUGCUAUCCCAUGUUAUUAAUAUGAAACAGAGCCUUUUUGGUGUGAUGAUUGUAACCAGCUUAGGUGGUGGAUCACGCGUAGAUAAACUACAAUUAUAAGGGUGUUUUGGUCUAAAGGAUUCAAGGCAAAUAAAAGAUGCAUUGGUUUCAUUUUGGAGCUACUUUUAUUUUGUUGGUGUUUGAAAGAUAAUUGAACCUCGAAAGAUGUACAUUUUGAUUAGGAAAAAAAGGAAAGAUAACUCGACAAGUAUGCUUGUUUUGGGGAAGAGGUAUAGCCACAAUGCCAAAACUUGGUACGUGGAACAUUUAAAUGCCAAAGGUUAGGAAAUUAACACUUAAAUGCCACCUCUAGCAAACUCUAUCAGAAUUCCUACGUGGCAAUUUUUUUUAAUUAUUUUUGCUCACCUACAUGGCUCGCUGAAGAGCUGACUUAGCAAAUAAAUGCAAAAAUGACGUUGUUUUGCUGCGGAUUGAAAAUUUAAUACAAAAUUUAAUUAAAUUAAAAAAAAAAGGAAGGGCUUGGUGACCCCGGUCAACUGUCCCCCCCACCGUUGCCGACCCUUCCUAGCGAUUGUGGGGAGGCGGCUGUGGCGAGGGCUCAUCGCUUAGCCGUGUGCUUCCUCCCUCAUUUUCAUUUUUAUUUUUAUUUGUGGCACCCUCGAUUCGCUUGAGGUUGCCACAGGUAUCUAUUACUCGAUCUCCUAAACUUCACAGAUUGAUACCUUUUAAAUAGAGAUUUUUAUUUUUUAGGUCCCAGCGCAGCUCAUCAACGGAAGUAUAAACAAGUCUCACCAUCCCUUACUCCAAUAACAAUAAUGCAAUGCACACCACCUAAACUUCAAAUGAAAAGACAAAGCCGAGUCACUUUUAUUUAUAUUUUCACGAUGGAUAUUUCGGGUCGGUAUAGCAAAAAGGCCAAGAUGUCUAACUAUACUUGGCUAUAACUCAAAAGAGAACUCGACCCUACAUCAAAUAUGUACAACCCUCCAUCAACAGGCAUCGGCUAUCCCCAAAAAGUGUCAGUUCCCACCAGCUAUACGUGCCAUCACAUCCAACCCGGUGCAUCGGGCGACGGCGGCAGUAGCAUCCCUAGCAUCACUCCAUCAUGCCGGACAUGGACAGACAAAAACUCCUGGAUAACCGGGCCAUCAGCAAGACCCACAUCGUACAUCACCAAGACACGGACUUGGACAAACACUAAACCAGGGGCACCGACACAGAUGUGUUUCGUGCACUCCACAUCAACAUCAGUAGGUAUGCCAUAGUAGGUACCACGCACGACUGGUGAAAGAGGCAUAUUUCUAAUAAAAAAUGUUAAUCCCUAAAUGGGUGAGUACAACCACUCAGCAGUAAAGAUUCACCAAACUACACAAUGCGUCAAACAGAACAAUCAAUGUAUCAUGAAUAAGACACAUAUCAAUCAUGCAUAUAUCACCAUACGGCAUGCAUAAUUCACCAUGCACUUGUACUUAUAUCAUCAAGCAACCAUGUAUAUAUCAUUAUGUAGCGUGCAUAUACUACCAUGCACUCAUCAUUAAACAGCCAUGCAUAUAUCAUUAUGCAACGUGCGUAUCCCACAAUGCACUCAUCAUUAAAUAGCCAUGCAUAUAUCAUUAUGCCAUAUGCACACAUCCAUGCGCAUGAUUCAAUUCUCGAUCUUUAUAUUUCAAAUAGAUCACAUCAUUUUCUUCCCAAGGACCAAUGUUUGCAUCCCUCAAUUUAUCGCUCGGAUCCAACUUGGCAUCGCGAGGAGCCUCCGGCACACACACUCCGGGCAUCUCAUACUUCAACUAGCAUCACAAGGAAUCCCCCCGGCACACACCUCCAAGGCUUUCAGCACGCACACUCUGGGCAUCCCAACACUCUUAGGGCAUCCGGCACACACACUCCGGGCAUCCCGACACUCCCGGGGCAUCGUCAGCUCACACCUUCGAUGGUCUCGUUAUUAUCUCAAUUUAUAUUCACACAUGUAUCUCAAUUUCAACAUGGCAUUUGAUGUAAUAAUAUCAAGGGUCUCAACCAGCUUUUGAUGCCAUAUAACAUGUCAUAUGUCACAACAUAUGCAGCAAAAUCAACCACUCAAAAAAUUACAUCACAUGGAAAAUUCAUUUAUUUUUGAAAACGCAUCAAUUUUCCGAUAAAACAGAAUGCACUCCUUUAGUUAAAACUCUAGAAAAACUAGUAAAUGGUAUUAAUAAAUUUUGAAAACUUAACGUGUUAUACACAAGACCUAAAGGCAGAUAUCUCAUGAAAAGCACCAUACCAAAAGAAUCUCACACAAAACAGUACGGUCCAUGCAUCACCGUUUUCAAAAUUUCAACAUUUCAGCUUGCACAAUUUCCGAAAUAAUUUAAAUUAAAUACCCAAAUGAACUCCAAAAAUUCUAAAAUUUUGAUAUGUUAUAGAAAAGUCCUAAAGGUAAAUAUCUCAUGGAGAAAUCGAAAUCCAAAUCGUUCUAGAUUAAUAGAUAUAGACGAUUAAUUCCUCCUGUUCUUGGUGUCGUUUUUCCAGAUUAUCUUAUUUCAAAGGAAACUCGUUUCACCGACCUACAUAUGUCCGUUUCUUGUAAAUUUUUAGUAUGUUAUUCCUAAGAAUAUUGCAGAAAACUUUUAUUAAGGACACACGAUCAAAUUUUAAAUGGAUGAUUUUAUAAAAAAUCACAGAAUCAUACUAGGUUGAGGUAGUAUUUUCCCAGAUCCAGUUUCUUCAAAGGACAACGAUUUCACCGACCUAUUUUUGUUCAUUUCCUCUAAAUUUUUGAUAUGUUUUACCUCAAGAAGUCCUCUACAUCUUUUAUUAAGAAAUAAAAGUGAUAUUGUCACAAGAAAGCUACUUUACAGUCCACGAAAUCACUAAAGGUCAGCACAACAAAUUCCAGAUCUAAUUUCUCCAAAAGAAAAUUGGUUCACCAAGAAAUAUUUGUCCGUUUUAUCUUAAAUAUUAGUAUUUUACUUCUCAAGAUGUUCUCUACAACUUUCAUUAAGAGAUUAAAGUGAGAUUCCAACUAAAAAGUCGCAUGCAGCUCACAAACUCAUGAAGGGUCGGACUGAUUUUUCCAGAGAACAGCAUGCUAGGCCACAAAUUUCUCCCCAGGGCUUCGAAAUUUCAUCACUUUCACCGCAUCCGAAGUUAACCAUUUUCUACACACACAUCACAGCAAACAAAGGGUAGGUUAAUGGACUCUACUUGCCUCUAGCCCAAGCGAACACAGCAAGCAACGAAACGGAGGGGCAAGGCGGCUCGACGGUGGGACUCGGCGCACGCACGACAACGAACAGACCUCCUCCUUCCAUUUCGCACACACAGUCUCCCUUUUUCUCUCUUCCUUUCUUCCUUUCCUUUCUCUCUUUCUCUCCUGUCUCUCUUCGUGCGACACCCCUCUCUUUCUCUCCCUUUCCUCACUUAAUCCGCCCCCCUCUUCCUCUCUAAUUUUCUUCCUUUCAAUGAUUAACAAUCAUUGAACUUGCAUGCCAGCGUCACUUGGCUCUAAGGGAGAAACACUUGGCAAUUUUCAUGCAAGAGGGGCUUCAUCCGGCUGGGCUUGGGCCAGCCUUGGUCGAUGGCAGCUCCUCCUCCUUUAGGCUUCGCGAGCCAGGCCUAAAUGGCCGAAUGGUGGGGCUAUGGGCUGGUUUGGUUCUUAAUUAUCCAGCCCACCAUCAUUCCAAAUAAUCCCACCUUAAUUUCCUACUUAAAUAAAUACCUAAUCACAAAAUAAUAUGGCCAAAAACUUGCAACAUUAAACCAUAAUAAUCAAAUCUAUAAGGUGCAUAGUCAAGAACAAAAUCCUCCUUAUCAAAUUAUCCUAUAGCACCAACCUUGAUUUACCCAUGAACACAAGAUACAUUUCCAUUAAAGUACUCAGUCUUAAUCUAUUACAAUUAUUUGGUCUAAUAACAACAUGAAUCAAUGACACUUCCAUCACCUUUUCAUAGGUUGUAAUGCCUCCAGAAAUUGCCAUGAAAUUUUAGGAUGCCACAAUUUUUAAAUGUUUUAAAUAAAUUUAGUUUUAAAUUAAAUUUAAUUAAUUUUAUAUUAAUUAUUUACCACAUCAGCAGCAAAAUGAUGUCUUUUUGCACUCAUCUAGCCAUGUUAGCAUGCAAAAUAGCAAAAGAACGCUUCAAGUGUCAUAACUUGGCACAAAGGGACACUUAAGUGCAAUAACUUAUGAAAGGUACACUUAAGUGCCACAUUCGAAGAAAAACGGAUCACUUAAGUGCCACUCCGGUCAAAGUCCAGCUAAAAUGCCGGCGUGGCAUUUUUCCGGCAAAGCGCACCCAAAACGACGCCGUUUUGCACUCUGACGUGGUCAAAUAAUGCUAAAAGAGUGUCGUUUUGGGCUAACAUGGUAAUAUAUAUAUAUAUAUAUUAAUUAAAUUUAGUUAAAAUAUUUUAAAAUGAUAAUUUUAAAAUUAAAUUUAGUUAAAAUAUUACAAAAUAAAAAAAUUUUAAAAAAUUUUAAAAAAAGGAAAUGGGAGGAGGCGGCUGAGGGAUUAGCUCUCAGCCGCUACUGGGAAGGGCUGGCGACGGCGGGGGGAGGGUCGGCCGGGGUCGCCGGCCCCUGGCUACAGCCCUCGCUCAGAUCCAGCAAGGGUCGCCAGCCCUCGCCGGAUUUGGGCGAGGGCCGCGACCCUCCCCAGAUUUGUGGCUAGUGGUGAGGGCUCGCGGCCCUCGCCCAAAUCUAGCGAGGGUCGACGGCCCUCGCCCAGCCAGGCCAAGGGUUGCUGACCCUCGCCGAAUCUAGGUGAGGGCCGCGACCCUCCCUAGAUUUGUGGCCAGUGGCGAGGGCUCGCAGCCCUCGCCUAGAUCCGGUGAGGGUCGACGGCCCUUGGCCUGGCCCCCAAUCUAGGGCGAGGGCUCGCAAGUAUUAUUUUUAAUAUUUUAACUAAAUUUAAUUUUAAAUUUAAUUUAAUUAAUUUUUAUAUUAUUUUGUUACCACGUCAGUUGAAAACGAUGCCAUUUUUGCAUUAUUUGGCCACAUCGGCGUGUAAAACGGCAUCGUUUUGGGCUCGCUUCGCUGGAAAAAUGCCACGUCGGCGUUUUGGCCGGACUUUGGCUAGAUUGGCACUCAAGUGAUCCAUUUUACUCCAAUUUUGGCACUUAAGUGUACUUUCGUAAGUUAUGGCACUUAAGUGUCUAUUUAUGCAAAGUUAUGGCACUUUAGGGGUCCGCACGUCUAUGCAAAACGACGUCGUUUUGCACUUGCCUCGUCGGAAAAUUGCCACGUUAGCAUUUUGGUGGAUUUUCUUGCUACUGACACUUAAGUGAUCUAUUUUGCUCCAAUUUUGGCACUUAAGUGUUCCUCUGUGCCAAGUUUUGACACUCUAGUUGUUUGACACUCCUUGUUUUGGGUAAGAAAAUGAAGUUUUUCAUUGUCAUUUACUUCAUGCUGUUGGGCUGAAUGGUUUGGUCAUUAACAUGGUAUGCCUGUGUAUGGAAUUGAGUAGAGAAGUUUCUUGUGGCUUGGCAAGGUUGGGUUCUAUUAUUUAGUUGUUGCAAAAAGGAUUUAAUCAUCAGUAGGACAUUGGGGAUUUAUCUUAGACUAUCUCCUUUCUUAUAGCUAAUAUUCUCUUUUACUUUGUUCUAAAUUGUGAACUUGCCCUUUCUGCUUGAUUUACUAGCUGGCAAACAUAGUUACCAUCUUUCAUGCCUCAUAGGAAUGUAGUUUGGUGUUAUUAGAUAUGAUACUUUAUAUGUCCUUAGGGCAAAAACCUCACUAUAGUAAACAUGUUGUAAAACUUACAUCAAUAUGUUUUGUUUAUAUCUUUUAUUAGUUCACUGCAAAGACAUCACUCUUUUACCUAGGGAGAACCAUCUAGCUUCCCCCCUCCCCCCUCACUAUUUGAGUGCCUUGUUAGUGAUUAUCAGCAAGCUUCAUAAUGUUUACUACAUUGAGGAUUUGAUUUUAGGAUAACGUCUUUCUAGCUUAGGAUGAAGUUCGAGUUAUUACGAGUAUAUUGUUUAUAAUAGGUUCAAAUGAAGAAGAUACCUAAUUGUUUUUUUUUCAUGUAGAUAUAGAAGUAUGACUGAGUGGAUGCAUGAGUAUUUUGUAUACCCAAUGUAUGUAUUCACAUACAUUGAAAAGCCGUUUGUGCUGUCUUUGAAACAACUUAUGUUGUCCUAUGCGUUUUUGGCUCUUCUAGUAUUACCCCUCUAGUAUUUCACCCACAUUUUGUAUUUCAUGAUCCGUGUGCUCAAAUAUUGAUGGAUGAUUGCAAAAUUUAAGUGGUGGUAAUGGGUUCUGUUGCAACACUUAUGAUAGUUAUCACACUAAUUUUUGGAUGAUUAUAAUCAUUUUAAGAACCACAUACCAAGAGAGCCUUGUGUAAAUUGGGAUUACAAGAGAGAGUUGUAUAUGGAUAUCAAACAUAGAUGGUGUGGAAUGCUUUUUUAGAGCUCUAUAAGGUACUUAGUGCAAGUAACUUGUUGCGUUCCAUUGUAAAUGUAUUAUUAGGGAGCAAGUUAUGGUAUUUUGCCAUAUUAUUGGACAUAAUUUGAGGUUUAGAGUCAUAGAGGGAAGAGAAGUUGGUGAGCCGUAUGAUAGGCAACUAUCUCUUGUGGUUCGGAGAGGACACAGUUGUUAGUUAGUAUGCCCUCGAAACUUUAUGACAGCUUUUUCAUACAUGUUCACUUGCAUCACAUACACAAGUGCUCUUUGAACUAUGCAAUAAGGUUACCCAUAACAAGGCUCUCCCACUUGAGUUACCUUAGCCCCAGGGCCAUGCUAUUUAAUGAUAUUGGAAAAAUUAAAAAUCGUCAUGCAAGCAAAUUUGAAAUUAUAUAAACAUGUGGUGAAAAAUAUAAGCAAUUCAACUCCUCUUGAGAUAAGUCAUAGUCAAAAUUUUAUCCGUAUUUUAAGGUAUAAAAUUUGGAAAGAAAAAAAAAGUCUUCAUACAUUGCUUGAGAAGUUUUAUUAGUUUUUGGUUGGUAAUUAUGUCGAUUAUUUUAGGAUUGUGUCUUAGCAAUGGAUGGAACUCUUGUACAUGCAUCAAUUUCUCUUGAAAUUCAAAGAAGAUUUCGUGGUUGGAAGGAUGGAACAACACAAAAUGUAUUAGCCACUAUUACAUUGACUUGAGAAUUUCUUAUGUAUUAGCUAGUGCACAUGAUUUGCGUAUUUUAUCUGAUGCACUUUGAAAGCUGGAUGGAUCGAACAUUCUAGAGGUAAAAAAAAAUGGAAUUUAUACAUAAUGUUUGAAUUGAGCUUAGUAUCUUAGUAAUAAACUUAUUUAUAACUUGUAGUAAAAUAUUUGCUGAUGCUUGUUGUGGAAUUCAAAAUGGCAUCAUCUUUCCAUAUCGUGGUGUUAGAUAUCAUUAAAAGGAGUUCAAUGAUUGCCCACCUGAACUUGAGAAGGAACUAUUCAAUUUGCAUCAUUCAUUUCUAAGAACUACCAUCAAAAGAGUGUUUUCGAGUAUUGGAUUCCAAACCUUUUUGGUCCUUUGGAACGCAUGUCAAUGUUAUCUCAACUUGUUGUAUUAUUCACAAUUUUAUCAUGGGAUUGAAGGUAACUGCAAAUUUGAAGAAUAUAUGGGUUGGUAAAGCAAUGCAUGCUUAUGUGGUGAGGACUUGAAAAUAUUUUCCCUGAUCUUUUUAAGAUUUCAUCUAAACACUAGAAAAUAUUCUCAUUCUCUUGAAAAUUGACUUUUAGGAAAAUUAUUUUUAAUAACGCUACAUUUUCUUUGUUCACUUGAGGAGGAAACCUCAUGUAUUAACAAAUUCAAAAAUGAAUUUAUACAUUUAAGAAUGCACCUCUGUUUAUACAGGAACAAUGGCAUGGAAAUCAACCAAACAUUAAAGAUAUAGGAACUAGACAAUGCAUUUAGAAAACAUGGGAACUCAAAUUUUCACUUUCCAACCUAGCAAUUCAACCACCAGCCAUGCCCUUCAAUCUGCAUUCACUCUUCACUUUUGAGAACCUUCAUCUUGGAUGUUUUGGGACCUACCGCAUCAUGUUGCGGCCGAAAUUCGCCUCUCUUUGCACGAUCAACAAAUGGGCUUUUGAUUAAUCGAUAGGGGACCUUGAGUAAAGUUUUGCAUUACGGUCGAGAGGACUCCUAGGCUUUGGUGCUCUCCCGGAUCAAUUAUCCCCCAAACUAAUUCUUUCCAAACGAAAUUCGAAAUCAAGCUUAUAAUGUCUCUCCAACCAUGAAAAUACUAAAAUUUCACUAAUACCCUCCCAAGAGCUGCUUGUCAUAGUACAGUCCUUGUGCUUUUUCUUUUGGUGUGAUCUAGCAUGGAGAUUCGACCUUUCUUUUGCAUGGAAUAGAUACCAUGACACGUCAUCUGCCCCCACCGCCGAGCCACCCGGGGAGGAUCGUCUCCUUCCUCCCGGCGGACUCCCAAAAUCUCCGUCAUCCUCUCGCCGUACAGUCCGCUCUCUCUCUCUCUUCUUUCUCUCUCUACCCCGACCGUCCUCGCGGGCAUCUGCUCCCAUGGCGCUGUGCAGGUGGAAGCCUCGCGGCGCCCUCGAGCACGCCGCGUCCCAGUUCGAGCUCCUGAAGCGGAGCCGCCCGGCGCUGUCUUCCUUGAUCGGCGCGCCGAGGUCUGCAGCGGCUCCUUCUCCUUCUUCCUCUUCUUCUUCGCUGUCGAAGUUGAUCUGCCGCUCGUGCUCCGACUGGGUCGGCAGGACGCCUCGCUUCUCCCCUCGCCGCUUCUAGUCGACCGUGGCCGAGAAGCUCCCGCGGUUCGCCAACGGCGUCGCCGGCAAUCUGGUAAAAUUGGAUAACUGCGAUGGAAACUUAGAGGUGUUAAUUCAUGAGGGCAUGCUUCGUUUGGUCGCUUUUCAUGCUUCUGAGAGAUGAUCGCUUGUGGAACGCGAUCCAGCUUGGUGAUAAUUCAUGUUUAUUCGCGCAACCGAGAAAUGCAAAAGAUCUUGACUUUGCACCUCGUGCAGGUUUGUCUUGUUCAAAUAAGUAUAGUAUGACGGGUGAGUAUGUCUGCUUUCGUGUCCAAUAUUCUUCAGCCACCAUGGGAACUGGUGUAUGUAUGCCCAUAGGAUAUCUGUCUAUGUAGUUAUCGGGGUGAUUCCAUUGAUCUGAAUGUGUCUGCAUAACCCGGUAUUUUCGCCUAUCCAAUUGAUAUGGCGAUGAAAGUGGAAAAGGGCACUCUUUAUGAUCACUUGGUAGAAUGUAACAUUGCCACUCUACUUGAAAAGCUUUACUCCUUGGAAGACUGCAAAAGCUCGGAUUUCAGUUCUCAUUAACAAUUUAGACUUCACAUUUUGGUGUGCAUAAGCCGAUUCACCAGAUGUUUGGUUUGGACAGACAAUGGACUUUCCUGGUGGUAAAGUUGCAUUCACAUCUAAGAUGAGCUUCAUAUCUGAGUCUCCCGAGUAAAGGGCACAGUGCUAGAGGGUACUAGAUGAAGAUGGCCAGCCACUAGUUCACAGUAGCUUCAUACAGGUAUUGCUUGCUUUAGAGGUCACUUCGACCCAGAACUGUUACUUGCUUUAGUUGAUGAGACCUUUUGAAAUGAUGCGUCUGGAGAAAGAGAAGACCCAGAGUUGGGGCUGGUCAUGGAGUGCCCGAAAGAUCGACGCGUAGAAAAAGGGAUGAUUGAAGCAGGGUCAAACGUACGAAAGGAGAUCACAUUUACAACAAGAGCACACUCCACCUGCGCCCGCUAGGGUGUCCGGUUCUGGAGUUUUACAGAAAGUUAAAAGACUCAUAAUUAUGCAUGCAUGGUGCAUGAAAUUUGUCAUGAUACUAAAGCUAUUCCAUGAAGAUGUUUUUCAUAGUUCCUCCGAAAAACCCUUGAAAGUGUUUCUGAGUUUUAUGAGUAGGAUAUGUAUAGUUUUUUUUUUUUUUUUUUUUUUUUAGCAAAAGGGUAUGUGUAGUUCAAUUACUUCAAAAUUGGACUCGUUACCUGUGUUUUGGCCCUGUGUGGAUGGGUUGAUUGCCAAGAAAGAAACCUUAGUUGAAUGUGUACUUCUGUUUGGCUGAGAGUUAAGUAAUAUCGCUUGAUUUGAGUUUGAUUUUAUGUAACAUCAUGCAAAGAAGAAAUUCUUGGAUCACGCAAGAAGAUUGAUAGCUAAUAACUAACCCUGGGGUACACUGAGAAUUUGAGGCAAGCAAUUGAUAUUAAUGGCAAGUUACUCAGAUAUUCAAUCAUGAACAAGUGGAUUUGGACAAUUCGUGAUUAUAUAGGAGCUCAAUUCUCCGUAUACACCCUAAGUAUGAAUAAUUUCAUGUUUGGGCUGCCUAUCUGAGUUUAUAAACUUGCGUUUUACCUUAUUCAUAGAGUUAAAGAGAUGCUUAUUGGGUAUAUGAUCUUAGCUAUUUAAGGAGUAUAUCCAUCCGUGAUGAUAAUGAAAACACUCAUUGGAGCAGAAGUGAUUUAUCUUCGUCCUGUACAUGGGAUCUAGCUCUUCUCAAGGAGCAGUUCCACUAAAGAAAAAGAAGUACGUAUAUAUUAUAUAAGAAAAUAAUGAAACCAAAAGAUUAGUUCGAAUGUCAUGCAUCCGCUCUCGGUCAUCAAAAGUUGAUUACUUUCAGCUCCUUCUCCCAUUUUAAAUUCAUCGCAAACCGCCAAACUAAUCCCCAAACUAGAGAUUCGGACGAAACCUGAAGUUUAGUUGCCCAUCAUCAUCAAGAGCUGUUUCUGCGCUCGUCUUUUAGCGCAAUUUUUUUCGUUGGUACGAAUGUUUUUUAUAUGUUAGAUUGCUGUCAACAAAGUUGUCACAAACCUGAAAAAUAAUUAAACCAAGCUCUCAGAUUGGAUUCUCCGUCGCACUCAAAGUAGGGGUCUGCCCCUGAUUUGGUCCUACCUGAGAAAUGAUACAUAGAACCAUAUAGCUCGAAUUUCCAAGCACCUGAAUUAGUCAGUUUGGUUCGUGAUUGAUUCCGGAUUUUCCGAACCAAAAACUACCUCAUUAGGCUCGGUAUCCAACCUUUGAACUGGCCCAUUAUAUAACUCAAGCAAGGACUUGAUUUCAAUGAAUUGGACAGCGGUCAAUUUGUACUGUGUCAUAGAUUAGUAAAUCUUAUUAGAUUGAGUCCAAUCUUACCAAGAAGGGUUACCACAUAACUAAACCCUAGUAAUCAAAUUUGUGCUGCUGUCCCCUACACGGGUCUUGAGGAUAAGGGGUGUGAAUAGUGAAAAGGUCUUUGCAACUUAUCCGAUGAAUCCAUCAGCUCAACAAAUUUCUUGUGCAGAUUAAAGCCUAGUUUUGAAUGAAAGAGAUCAUGAGUCAAGCAUAUUUUCUCUCAAUAUCUUGUAACAUGGACACAAAGUGUAUUGACACCAAUAUAACACGAUACUGUGUAUGAUCAUAAUGCGUUUAUACAGAGAAAGCAUCUUAUCCAUCAUAUUUAGAAAAUAACAAAAUCACCAUUCACAAUAUCAAGAAUCAAAGAUAAAAGGUGGGUUUCUUUUUUACUUGUAGUAGCAUUUAAUCACUUUAUUAAAGAAGAUUGACUUCAUGCUCUAUGUAAAUAAUAUAUACGCUACCUAAGAUCCAUUAUUUAAAUUUAAAAUUUAAAAGCUACUCAGAAGCUUGAAUUAUUAUAUAUAUAGUGAAAUGAAUAUCAUAGGGUAAUUAACAUUAACCUUGUAAAAUGACCAUAAACAGAAAUAAAUAAGAAUAAUGUAUUUGUGUUUCCGGAUUAUAAGAGAAGGGAAAAAUUACUGGCAAGAAGAGGGAUCAACCCAAAUCAUCCAACUCUCUCCUCUUGUUGCCUUAAAAAGACAUGCAGCGUCAGCGCUUGCCUUUCCACUCGACAUAUCAUAUCCCUCCAAGAACCGCCGCUCUCUCUCCCUCUCCCUCUCUCUCUCUCUCCUCCCCUCUCUCUCCUCCCCCCCCCCCCCCCUCUCUCUCUCUAUAAAUACGUGCGUGGAUUUCAAUCGGAGAAAUUGGUAAAGAAAGGCAAGAUCAUCAAGAAUUACCAUAUAUAGGAUAAUCCGCAGUAGCUCAAUUUUGCUGGUUUUGGCUUGUGAUCAUGAGAGAUGUAAAGGAAAAGGAAGAAGAAGAAGAUGAUGGCAAGAUGCUGAAGCUACCACCUGGAUUUCGGUUCUCGCCGACAGACGAAGAACUCGUCCUUCACUUUCUGCAUCCCAAGAAGCAGCAGGCCUCUCUGUCUCCUCUCUAUGCUCACCUGGUUCCUGAUCUCAAGUCUCACCACCAUGAUCCUUGGGACCUCCAUGGUAAGCGAGAGAGAGCAACUUUUGCUUUAUUAUCGUACAUAUAGUUGCUUAGUAGGAUGCAGUGCCCUAGCUAGAAGAAAUUCUGGAUAAAGAGGUAUAGAAAAAUUAGCUCUGAUUGCCCUAAUACAUCUUAUGAUGAGCUUGUCAAGAUCUUGAAGACGAGACUUGUGAGAGUAAGUGGUUUUUCCUGAAGUCACAUGAUUAUCAAAAGUAACUUAGCAAAGAUUUGCCGUGUUAAUAUCGUAACA
RNAcentral lists this long non-coding RNA (32773 nucleotides) under Eucalyptus grandis. Lineage: Eukaryota; Viridiplantae; Streptophyta; Magnoliopsida; Myrtales; Myrtaceae. The record is from RNAcentral.